RNAcentral lists this ribosomal RNA (682 nucleotides) under uncultured bacterium. RNAcentral's name for it is "bacterial SSU rRNA". It matches the Rfam family "Bacterial small subunit ribosomal RNA", at positions 72 to 753 of the family's 1533-position model. The record is from RNAcentral.
AGCUUGCUUUGGUUUGGUGAGAGUGGCGCACGGGUGCGUAACGCGUGAGCAACCUACCCUUGUCAGGGGGAUAGCCCGGCGAAAGUCGGAUUAAUACCGCAUGACAUCAUUGAGAGGCAUCUUUCGAUGAUCAAAGAAUUAUCGGACAAGGAUGGGCUCGCGUGACAUUAGCUAGUUGGUAAGGUAACGGCUUACCAAGGCUGCGAUGUCUAGGGGCUCUGAGAGGAGAAUCCCCCACACUGGUACUGAGACACGGACCAGACUCCUACGGGAGGCAGCAGUAAGGAAUAUUGGUCAAUGGACGGAAGUCUGAACCAGCCAUGCCGCGUGCAGGAGGACUGCCCUAUGGGUUGUAAACUGCUUUUAUACGGGAACAAACGUCGGUACGUGUACCGGUCUGAGUGUACCGUAAGAAUAAGGAUCGGCUAACUCCGUGCCAGCAGCCGCGGUAAUACGGAGGAUCCGAGCGUUAUCCGGAAUUAUUGGGUUUAAAGGGUGCGUAGGCGGCCAAAUAAGUCAGGGGUGAAAGUCGGCAGCUCAACUGUCGCAGUGCCUUUGAUACUGUUUGGCUUGAAUUCGGUUGAAGAUGGCGGAAUGAGACAAGUAGCGGUGAAAUGCAUAGAUAUGUCUCAGAACACCGAUUGCGAAGGCAGCUAUCUAAGCCGUUAUUGACGCUGAUGCA